RNAcentral lists this ribosomal RNA (253 nucleotides) under uncultured bacterium. Its description in RNAcentral is "partial 16S ribosomal RNA". It matches the Rfam family "Bacterial small subunit ribosomal RNA", at positions 524 to 776 of the family's 1533-position model. The record is from RNAcentral.
UACGGAGGAUGCAAGCGUCAUCCGGAAUGAUUGGGCGUAAAGCGUCCGCAGGUGGCUAUGUAAGUCUGCUGUUAAAGAGUGAGGCUCAACCUCAUAAGAGCAGUGGAAACUACAUAGCUAGAGUGCGUUCGGGGCAGAGGGAAUUCCUGGUGUAGCGGUGAAAUGCGUAGAGAUCAGGAAGAACACCGGUGGCGAAGGCGCUCUGCUAGGCCGCAACUGACACUGAGGGACGAAAGCUAGGGGAGCGAAUGGG